This 217-nucleotide long non-coding RNA is filed under the name Mytilus galloprovincialis (Mediterranean mussel). Lineage: Eukaryota; Metazoa; Mollusca; Bivalvia; Mytilida; Mytilidae. The record is from RNAcentral.
ACAAAAGUCGUCAAAAUAGGUGCAAUUUGGGUACCUUCACCAAACUCGGAAACAGUGGUGACAUCUGGCUACGCUUCUUUACAGUAUGACCCGAACGAUAACGCUGUAUGAUGUCAAAGUUGUGCAUUCACGUCACAUGAUUUGUAUUUAGGGUCAACCGCAAAAAAAAACAAACAAACAUAAACGAUCAUAAAGAGGUUAGAUGUACCCACGGGUG